RNAcentral lists this ribosomal RNA (253 nucleotides) under uncultured bacterium. RNAcentral's name for it is "partial 16S ribosomal RNA". It matches the Rfam family "Bacterial small subunit ribosomal RNA", at positions 524 to 776 of the family's 1533-position model. The record is from RNAcentral.
UACAGAGGGGGCAAGCGUUGUUCGGAAUUACUGGGCGUAAAGGGCGCGUAGGCGGCCGCCUAAGUCAGACGUGAAAUCCCUCGGCUCAACCGAGGAACUGCAUCCGAUACUGGCGGGCUUGAAUCCGGGAGAGGUAUGUGGAAUUCCAGGUGUAGCGGUGAAAUGCGUAGAUAUCUGGAGGAACACCGGUGGCGAAGGCGGCAUCCUGGACCGGUAUUGACGCUGAGGCGCGAAAGCUAGGGGAGCAAACGGG